RNAcentral lists this ribosomal RNA (252 nucleotides) under uncultured bacterium. RNAcentral describes it as "partial 16S ribosomal RNA". It matches the Rfam family "Bacterial small subunit ribosomal RNA", at positions 524 to 776 of the family's 1533-position model. The record is from RNAcentral.
UACAGAGGUCUCAAGCGUUGUUCGGAUUCAUUGGGCGUAAAGGGUGCGUAGGCGGCCCAGUAAGUCAGUGGUGAAAGCUCUCCGCUUAACGGAGAAACUGCCAUUGAUACUGCCGGGCUGAGUACAGAUGAUGUUGGCGGAAUAUGACAUGUAGCGGUGAAAUGCAUAGAUAUGUCAUAGAACACCGAUUGCGAAGGCAGCUGACAAAACUGUAACUGACGCUGAGGCACGAAAGUGCGGGGAUCAAACAGG